GGAUGCCUCAUCAUCUCUGCUGAUUUCCUUAAUCCUGUUCUAGACAUUCAGACCAGGAUUUAUAUCAUCAGCCCUACUGCUUCCCAAGCCUUCAGACUCAUCCUGGGACUUAACAUCAUUGGCUCAUACAUCUUCAGGUUUUGUUUGGAACUAUAUCAUCAAUACUACUGGAGCCUCCAACUUGCUAACAGCAGAUUACAGAAUUUUUGGUUUCCACAAUCAUGUCAUGUUAGCCUGCAAUUUGCCAUUCACUAGGACUUCCAUAGCUCUUCUCUCAGCUUCCAUUUCUUCAGCUUCAAAGAGCCAAAACCCAGCCAAAAGCCUGAGGACAGCAAAUGUGGCAGAUGCAGCCGAUGGAGCCCAAAAACCUUGGCCUUCCAGGGCACAAGGCCAGAUGGAGAAGGACAGAGAGUGGAUAUGACAGACAGAGGAUGUCCGUACACAAAAGGCAGGAACCAGUGGCCA
This is a long non-coding RNA of Lepus europaeus (European hare), 465 nucleotides long. RefSeq lists it as uncharacterized. The transcript has 4 exons. The record is from RefSeq and is a predicted model, not a curated record. NCBI's taxonomy places the organism in Eukaryota, Metazoa, Chordata, Mammalia, Lagomorpha, Leporidae.